AGAGUUUGAUUAUGGCUCAGGACGAACGCUGGCGGCGUGCUUAAUGAAUGCGAGUCGAACGAGAACCAGUGGAGUGCUUGCACAAAGCUGGGGACAGUGGCGAACGGGUGAGUAACACGUGGGUAACCUGCCCUGUAGUCGGGCACAACAGUUGGAAACGACUGCUAAUUCCCGAUAGUCUGCAGUAGCGUUGGCUACUGUAGUAAAGGUUUUUCCGCUACAGGAUGGGCCCGCGGGCCAUUAGCUUGUUGGUGGGGUAACGGCCUACCAAGACUGCGAUCAGUAGCCGGACUGAGAGGUUGAACGGCCACAUUGGGACUGAGAUACGGCCCAGACUCCUACGGGAGGCAGCAGUGGGGAAUAUUGGGCAAUGGGCGCCAAGCCUGACCCAGCAACGCCGCGUGAAGGAAGAAGGCCUUCGGGUUGUAAACUUCUUUUAUGAGGGACGAAGGACGUGACGGUACCUCAUGAAUAAGCCACGGCUAACUACGUGCCAGCCGCCGC
This 504-nucleotide ribosomal RNA is filed under the name uncultured bacterium. RNAcentral describes it as "bacterial SSU rRNA". It matches the Rfam family "Bacterial small subunit ribosomal RNA", at positions 8 to 518 of the family's 1533-position model. The record is from RNAcentral.